This 493-nucleotide long non-coding RNA is filed under the name Homo sapiens (human). RNAcentral describes it as "HSALNT0319893". Lineage: Eukaryota; Metazoa; Chordata; Mammalia; Primates; Hominidae. The record is from RNAcentral.
AGAAUCUCAACAUACAGUCCUCAGCAGCUUUAGCAUGGGCAACAAAUUAAGUCUCUGUAAAAGGCCCAAAGGACAGGGUUUGGUGAGAUUCUGGAGAGCUGGAAACAUGGAGGUUGACAGGAAUGUAAAGAAGAACUCAUUUACAUGCCAGGAGGGUGGAACACCCCAAUUCCAUGAGGAUAACUGCUCCUGUACUCCAGACCUCACCCCAUGUGUCUCUUCAUCUGGCUGGUUAUUUGUCCUUUAAGAUCUCCUUACUCAACCAGUAAAUGUGUCUUUACAUUGUUUUAGUCUUGAACUAGAAGAUGAAAGCAUCAAAUAAAGAAAUAUACUGUGGGUAUAUGGAUUACAAAAAAAGCAUCAAAUGUGAUCAACAUGCCUUCCCCUGUCUCCUUCGUGGUAUUUUUAUAAAGACACAGUGUUUGAAGGACAUUAAUCUAAAUGACGGGUCACAGGAAAUGAAUGUGAUAACAACAGGAAGUGUAUUAUGGAG